Molecule: ribosomal RNA, 497 nt
Filed under: uncultured bacterium
Lineage: Bacteria
Description: partial 16S ribosomal RNA
Rfam family: Bacterial small subunit ribosomal RNA
Source: RNAcentral
GAUGAACGCUGGCGGCGUGCCUAAUACAUGCAAGUCGAGCGAACAGACGAGGAGCUUGCUCCUUCGACGUUAGCGGCGGACGGGUGAGUAACACGUAGGUAACCUACCUAUAAGACUGGGAUAACUUCGGGAAACCGGAGCUAAUACCGGAUAAUAUUUCGAACCGCAUGGUUCGAUAGUGAAAGAUGGCUUUGCUAUCACUUAUAGAUGGACCUGCGCCGUAUUAGCUAGUUGGUAAGGUAACGGCUUACCAAGGCAACGAUACGUAGCCGACCUGAGAGGGUGAUCGGCCACACUGGAACUGAGACACGGUCCAGACUCCUACGGGAGGCAGCAGUAGGGAAUCUUCCGCAAUGGGUGAAAGCCUGACGGAGCAACGCCGCGUGAGUGAUGAAGGUCUUCGGAUCGUAAAACUCUGUUAUUAGGGAAGAACAAACGUGUAAGUAACUGUGCACGUCUUGACGGUACCUAAUCAGAAAGCCACGGCUAACUACGUG